UACGGAGGGGGCGAGCGUUAUUCGGAAUUAUUGGGCGUGAAGGGCGCGUAGGCGGCUCUAUAAGUCAAAGGUGAAAUCCCUCGGCUCAACUGAGGAACUGCCUUUGAAACUGUUGGGCUUGAGGCCGGGAGAGGGUAGUGGAAUUCCCAGUGUAGCGGUGAAAUGCGUAGAUACUGGGAGGAACACCAGUGGCGAAGGCGGCUACCUGGACCGGUUCUGACGCUGAGGCGCGAAAGCGUGGGUAGCAAACAGG
This 253-nucleotide ribosomal RNA is filed under the name uncultured bacterium. RNAcentral's name for it is "partial 16S ribosomal RNA". It matches the Rfam family "Bacterial small subunit ribosomal RNA", at positions 524 to 776 of the family's 1533-position model. The record is from RNAcentral.